Long non-coding RNA from Rhagoletis pomonella (apple maggot), 1437 nucleotides. RefSeq lists it as uncharacterized. Lineage: Eukaryota; Metazoa; Arthropoda; Insecta; Diptera; Tephritidae. The record is from RefSeq and is a predicted model, not a curated record. The transcript is spliced from 2 exons.
AAAUUCAUAUUUAUGGUCAGAAUCUUUAUUUAUGGCCCGAUUUCGAUGAAAUUAUAAACGUGUACUGGGGUACUCCUGAGUAGCCUUCCUCCUCCUCUGGCGUUCAAAUUUUUAUUUUGUAUUAACUUUCAUGGCAGAUUUUUCAGAUCGGCGUGGAAAUUGAAUCUGAAAUAAUUUGCCUCGGGCCCAUGAAAGUUAUAUAUCUGGAAGUCGUAAAGGUUAGCAGUUCCGACACGUGGUCUCAUCUGGAAUUCUUAUUGAUUUGUAUAUGUACAUACAUAUGUACAUACAUGCAAAUGUAGACAUGUUUGCCGUAUCAUCAUGACACCACCAUCAAUAGCAUCUCACCUACAUACAUACAUAUGUACGUACAUAUGUACAUACAUGCAUAAUUUAAGCCCAUCGCUAGCAUGUUUCACCUGAAAGUACAGUCACAAUUAUGCAAACCGUGUUAGUGUUUAAUGUUAAUCCUGAGUGGCAAGGACAACAUAAGAAUGCAGCAGGAAAAGUGCAGCGUUGUUGACCAAAUGACCGACAGCAACAAAAACACGAAAUCACCAAAAGCAACAAAUUGAAUUCUCGGCGAAUUUUGUAAAAGAUAAAUGUGUGUGCGUGUGUUUGUGUGCGUAUGUAUGUAUGUAAGUAAUAUCGAUGAGAAUCACAGUAGCAGCAGAAGCAUAGCUUCAGGAGCAGGAACAACAACUACAGCUCCAACAAAUAGUUCAAGGUCGAUGCGUAAACACACACACACACACAUACACAGGCAGAUAGAUAUUCAUGUGCAUACAUCUGCAAAGUAUUGCGUUGUAAAUUUCCAGAAAUUUAGUUGACUUUUGGAAGUUGGUGGACUCGAUAGCAGGCCUACAUACAUAUGUAUUCAAUUUAAUUUAACCGGAAAUGAAUUCGUGUAUGUUUUCUUACGUCUUAAAUUAGUCAGUAUUCGGAGUGUAGAAAUUCGAGGCAGUGCUAGUUUUGUGUUUUCCCGCGAUAUUUGUCUACUUAUAGGCGCAUUGGCAUACUCAGGUGUGUUGUAGUAGCAUACUUUUAGGCGCGCACGUUCUUUUCUUUGCACGCUUGUUUUAUACAGAUUUUCUUCAACUACUUUUUUGUGUUUUAUGUAAUGACUAAUUCAAAUGUUUUCUUUUGUUUCUUCUUUCACUUUCUCUCCUUCCAGGUGGCGUUAGUACUGGUUGCAGCAACAUCUAUUUCACAGGCAAUGGUGAUUUAGUGGCCGGCUCGGCGACUGCUGAAGAGUUGGCACUCAGCGCCGCAGGUGUACAAAGUGUCAAUCGUGCACCAUCCACAUUUUGGCAAUAUCAAAAUGCUCUACCUAUCGAAUCGGUGAUUUCCAUGUCUCCAGCAACAGUGGGUUUGCAGUAUUCGCGCGAUGCAAGUCGCGGUCAAGUGGUGCUUCUGCCGGCUACACCAGCCGCUUUA